UUCCAGACUCCUACGGGAGGCAGCAGUGAGGAAUAUUGGUCAAUGGCCGAGAGGCUGAACCAGCCAAGUCGCGUGAGGGAUGACGGCCCUACGGGUUGUAAACCUCUUUUGUCGGGGAGCAAAGAGAGUCACGUGUGACUCAUUGAGAGUACCCGAAGAAAAAGCAUCGGCUAACUCCGUGCCAGCAGCCGCGGUAAUACGGAGGAUGCGAGCGUUAUCCGGAUUUAUUGGGUUUAAAGGGUGCGCAGGCGGAGGUGCAAGUCAGCGGUCAAAUUGCGGGGCUCAACCUCGCUCCGCCGUUGAAACUGGCGUUCUUGAGUGGGCGAGAAGUAUGCGGAAUGCGUGGUGUAGCGGUGAAAUGCAUAGAUAUCACGCAGAACUCCGAUUGCGAAGGCAGCAUACCGGCGCUCAACUGACGCUCAUGCACGAAAGUGUGGGUAUCGAACAGGAUUAGAUACCCCCGUACAC
RNAcentral lists this ribosomal RNA (468 nucleotides) under uncultured bacterium. RNAcentral describes it as "bacterial SSU rRNA". It matches the Rfam family "Bacterial small subunit ribosomal RNA", at positions 329 to 795 of the family's 1533-position model. The record is from RNAcentral.